Molecule: non-coding RNA, 31 nt
Filed under: Mus musculus (house mouse)
Lineage: Eukaryota; Metazoa; Chordata; Mammalia; Rodentia; Muridae
Source: RNAcentral
UAUAAAAGCAGAAGAAAAACAUUUGUAAAAA